AUGGCCCAGAGCGUAGCGGGGCCCCGAGUGUCCCCCGCAGGGCGUCUCGGUGGCCCGGCUGCCCUGGGCCCACUCCGUCCAGCCCUCUCCUCUCCGCCGCGCCCUCCAGUUCUCGGCCGGACUCGAGACGAGUUAGCGGCCACCGAGCGUGGGACCUCGGCUCGGCACCCCGACUCACCGCCCAGCCGGGGCUGGGGACCCGCGCCCGGCUGUGUCACUAAACUUUCCCGGGCGCACAAGACCCGGAGAUGCCAAGCCUCCCCGACCCCCGCGCCCACCCGUGACCCCGUGGCCCGUGAGGCGGGACGGUCGCUUCACCUGCUAGUGGCUCGGAAGGGGCUCCCGCUGCUUUUCUCGCGUCCGGACCCGGGCGCCGCCCGGCGGGUUCCCGUGCAGCUGCCGCCGCCGCCGCCGCCGCCGCCGCUGCUGCCACCACCGGUGCCGCCGCCGCGCCUGCCCGGAGCUGCAGCGCCGCGGUUCGCCCGCAGCCUCGGGAGGAGCAAUCCCCCGCGCCUCCGGCUCGGCCCGCGGCUCCGAGGGGCCCCGCCGCCGCUGCCCCACCGCGUCCCUCUGCCCGGGGCCGGCACUCGCCCGCGCUGGGAGUCCGCACCUCGCGGCGCGGCGCUAGGCAUGCAACGAGCCUCCAGGAUGGGCGGGAAUUCCCUCCCUCCGGUGGAUCAGAGGGGCGGGAACUCCCUUCACGGAGUGACAGCCACGAGGGGCGGGGAUUCCCCUGCAGGAGUGACAAGGUGGGCGGGGAUUCCCCCGAGCCAGCAGCACCGAGGCCGGGGCGUCGCUCCUGGGGAGCCAGCAGUCCUGGGGCGCCGGCCUCAGAAAUCUGGGUAUCCUAGGGCGAGCGAAGGGGCCCAGGGAGACUGCCGCUCAGAAUUUCCAUCCAGGCGGCGCUUGGGGCGCCAUCCAGGUGGCGGAAGGCGAGCUAGGGGACUUGAGGUUGCCUUUGGUUGGCCCUUGACUUACUACCGAGAAAAAAUGUCAAUUGCCUUAUCAAAGAAUGGGCGGAAUUUGCCUUUCCUAAGGAGAUGGGGGAAGAGCUAG
This 1056-nucleotide long non-coding RNA is filed under the name Oryctolagus cuniculus (rabbit). Its description in RNAcentral is "lncRNA (ENSOCUG00000030672.1)". The record is from RNAcentral. Lineage: Eukaryota; Metazoa; Chordata; Mammalia; Lagomorpha; Leporidae.